CCACUGUAUUUUCCACUGAAUGCAUCCGAUGAAGUGAGCUGUAGCUCAUGAAAGCUUAUGCUCAAAUAAAUUUGUUAGUCUCGAAGGUGCCACAAGUACUCCUUUUCUUUUUUCAAAGAGGAUACAGUAUAUUAAAACAAGACACUGAUGGUUGCAGCCUCAUUGGUCAAGACUGUUUUCAGUUCAAACAAUCUUGACCAGUGAUGCUGCAGCCAUCAGCAACGGCCUUGGUUGCUUCGGGGUUUCAGAGACUUUGGGACAUGGUUGUUCAUGGAACUGAAAUAAUGACCCUGCAAUUUCCUUAUUUUAGCAGAUAACUUCAGCUGUUUAGAGAAAGUUUAAACAUCUGGGAUCUAAACUAACAGUGAUGCACUGAAAAAUAGAACAUGCUGAACUCAUAGUGGAAGGCCAUGUUAAAUGAAUCCUGGGAGAGGGUGUCCCUGAUCUGUAUGUGAGAAUGGGGAGAAGGAAGAACAAAGUUUGGAUUAGAUUUUUGGGAAACAUGCAUUAAUAAUCCUGGAUGCCAGAAAUAAAUCUGCCCACAAAUUAUAUUAAUUUGUGUACAGUGCCUUUCCCCACUAAGGACCAAACCCGACCCUUGAGUGACGUUCCACAGGCAGCUAAUGGUAGAAGGAGGUGCUGACAUGACUUUAUUACAAUCACACCUUUAGGAGCCAGAGUAGGGGCAGAAGACCACAGCAUGGAUGGUCCUCUGUCUCUAAAAGGUCCCCUGAGAUCUGGGCAGAUGUGGGAGGAAGACAGGAGGUUAUUUUUCCUAGGGAACCUCAUGCCACGGGUUUUUCAAUGUGAAGGGGUGAUCUAGAUUUGAGUUACUUAAGAACAGUAAGCAUCGACAACCCCUGUGGUCUUUUGAAAAUAAAGUGUAAAAGCAAGAGAAGUACAAGUUAACUAACCAACAUACGCAAAAAGAAAAGGAGUACUUGUGGCACCUUAGAGACUAACAAAUUUAUUUGAGCAUAAGCUUUCAAAAACAUAAAAAACACUGCAUGUUUAUAGGUUGUUUGAUCUGAAGUGUGAUUAGGCAGAGUGUAGCUGUUAAGAAAUUAAAAAUAAAAACUCUUGCAAGUGGCUAGAAGUAUUAUAGUUUCGAAGUCAUUGCACAACUGUUUUUAGGUACAUAUCUGUCACCUAGUCCCAGUACGGGUAAUCCUCCAAUGAAUUACAGUUAAUCGUUGGUUAGCAAAAAGCCUGCUGAAGCUACCCUUUUUCCUUAAUGGGUGUGUUCCCUGCUGUUAGCCAGUUGGCAUUUUGUGCUACAGAGCAUCUACUGUAUGCAUGAGAGUAGAGCUAGUGUUUUCUUUCCCUGAACUUCAAGGACAAUAGACAAGGUGGAACAGAUUGUUUAGCACAUAUUUCAAGGGACCGUGCAAGGUGAAGUGACAUUUGACCAUCUGACAUAUGAGAGAUAAGAUGCCUCAAGAUCCUCCAGGUUUGGGGUGAACACCACAACAAAUCCCUUGGGCGCAGGCAAAAACACACGCAUGCGCACCCUCUCCCCCCAUUGGAAUGAUUGGUGAGGAACUCUAUGAAGUGAACCUUGCCAAGAUUAUCUCUCAGAUUUUUCUAUGGGAAGAGAUGAACUGGGUCAGGAAAUCUUAAGCUAAAUUCACAAGUGACUCUAAGUUAUAUGACCUACAUGCUCUUCUGGACAUCUUCAGUGUGUAAAUUAUACCAACUUUGAUUCCCACUUACCAGCAUGUAACUUAUACCCCUUUACAUAUUACUUCUGAAUUUGGCCUAAAGAGUUUAAGUGAACUAAAUUGAUGUAACUUACCCAGAGAGAGGCCGGAAGAGAGGAGGUGUAGCAGAAAAUGCAAUUAACAAGAGGAUAUAAGAUGUUAAUUUACACUUUCUGGCACCAUCUUCAACUUCCUUUGACACCUUUACACCCACUUGCAGACAUGUAAUUUACACCUCCUCUCAUUUAACCUCCAAAUAUGACUUUCUAGGGGACAUCCUGACUCCAUUGACGUCAAUGGCAAAAUUCCUGUGGACUUCAACAGGGGCCGGAUUUCAUCCCUUGCCUUUAAUUGUGCCCAUUAAACAGUACAAAAUAAUAUUACGAAUAUUGAUUAGCUUGGAGGGCAAUAGUAGUAAAAUAAUUCUCAGGAUUGUGAAAUAUGGUAAAAUUGAAUGAAUUAUUUUAAAUUAAGGGCUAUAUUUUUAGAAAAUUAAUAAAAUCUGGGGAUAUAACUACUCGUUGUUUUACUAUCACCUUUGCUUUCUAUUCACUACAGUCUUUGUAUCCAUAAGAGUGUAAAUGCAUAAAGAUCCAUACACAGAAAAAAACCCUGUAUGUGCUGAUAUUCUUGCUGCCUUAGGAGUUCAGUGCAUAAAAAUGGUUCAUGCUGACCAGCUGUUUCAACGUCUCUUGCUCAAGAGGAGCAGUUACUGCAGGUUCCAGAGCAUAUAUAAUUGUAAGUAAUAUUAUAAAGUUCAAAGAACUAAGCCAAAAAAAAAGUAUAUUAAAGAAAGCAGCAAAUCAUUUGAGUGAAAGAACUGUGAUUCAAAGUAUUAAUCAAAAUAGUUCCCUGCAUCUGGAGAUAUUUGUGGGAACUGCACUGGAAAAACAUUUGUUCUGUAACAUACUCUAGCUAAGUGAAAACUCAAGGAAUAGAUGUUCACAUUGUAGCUGAGGCAAACAUAAAUGAGGCAAUGUUUAUUGGAGCAGUUGAGUGUGAAGAAAAAACAAAAGUUGCACAAUAAGUGCACAGAAUGAAGAAGGAAAAUUUGCAUGAUACUAUUUACACAGCAGCAGCCAUCUUAGGUUAAUGGAUCAUUCAUAACCUUUACAUUGCACAGAAGUGCAAAAGCAAAUUUGACAACUGUGAAUGACUUUCAAAGCCUGAAGUACAGAUAAAAGGCAAAAAAUAAGCUUGUACUGUAGGCAUGUAUUAGUUGAGCCAAUGAAACAAAAAGAGGUGCACAGAAUGGACCAAAACUAUUAGUGAUCUAACACCAGAGCAACUUACGGUACUACCCUACUCAGAAAAUAAUGAGAAAGUAAAAUUAGAGUAAAAGAAAUCUACCUUCCUCUGAUUUUGUGUGUUACUCACAGAUGCUAAUUUAUUCAAAAUCUCUCUUCAAUAUGAAGGCCUCAUGUAGUGCACAUUUCAUUAGGGUUCUGCAAAACAGCAGAACUUUAGUGAGGUAUCUGUAUUUCACUGAAUAGUUUGAUAACCACAGUAAAGGACUGAAGUAUUUUCAAAGGCUCCAAAUUAAUGAGCACAUGUGCAGCUAAUUCAAAUAACACUGUACCACCUGAGAUUUUGACCUACUACUGCCAGUGCCACUGAAAGCAGAAACAUGUUUUACUGUUUAUUGUUAAUAUCAGACAGAAUAAUCUCUGGAAGGCGGUGAAGCAUGUGAAAAUGUGCCAAAUUAAAGAGUGCAUAAACAUAUAGACACAAGCUGUGACACUUAGCCAGCUAUGAAUGCCUCCACAGCUACGAAAAUACUACCAGCAUCCCCCAUACAUAUUAUUGAGCAGGAGGAAUGACAAGAUGGAGCCCUGUGGAAUACUAAAUAAAAACUCCUUUGGGAAAAAUGAUUCACAAAACUACCCUCAGAGAGAAAGAGAUAAAUCACCUGUGGACAUCUCCUUCCACUCCUCCAAGAGUUCACAGGUGAAUCAGAUACCUCAUGGUCAACAGUACAGAAGGCAGCAAAUUGAUCUGAUAAUAUCAUAAUGGAUACCUGAUAUUCAUCCAUUGUCAGGAAGAAAUCAUCAACUAAGGCAACAAGUACAGUCUUCCUACCCUUUUAUCUGACCCUGAUCUGUGUACAGCCUGACAAGGCUCAAGGAGAUUUGAAGCAUCUAGUUAGAGUUGUCUCACUUCAAUCCUCUGAAUGAUGUUAACUUUUUAAUCCCUGACCACUGAAAUAAGGCAGAGAGACAGCUUGUCUAACAACAUUAUGUUCUGGGAAAUAUUGGUUAGAGCCAAUAUUUUCUAGUGCAUUGGUACAUCAGUCAUACCAACUAAGAAAAGUAAAACAGGUAUUAAAAUAUCAAGAAGUUUGAAUUUCUACUACAGUAAUUAUUGAUGAGUCAUUUGUUGAAGCCUCUGUACUUUGCAAAAUAGUUUGUAAACGUAUUCCAAUGAAGUGAAAAUUUAGUAGUAACCUUAAAGAGAUUAAGAGCUAUAAAAAGGUUGUCACGGCAGCAACAAUUAACAGAAAGACAAGAAGCUGUUGUUUUGUGCAGCACAUCUCUGUGAUACUGUUUCAUUGUUAUUGUGUGUUAAAGCUUUAUGUGAAUAUUGGCCAGCCUAGUUAAAGCCUUGUGAAAUAUCUGACUCUCUAGCAUUGUGGACUGUCUAGAAUAUUACUGGCAGACAAUCCCUAGAGUGGUAGAUAUUGGAAGGAAUGCUUUCUAUUGCUCAACAGUAACCUCUCUUAUUAAGGAAAUCCCAUUGAGUCAAGGUCACAAGUAUCCCAAGCAGACCUGCUCCAUACACGCACAGUACUAUAACCUAAAAUGUACCCAAUAGUAAUUAUUAGCUAAACCACAGAAAGGAGCUCUAGAAAAAUAAUCACUACAGGGACUUACUUGAGAAUUUAUCCAUCGUUCUUCCCCUAAAUGUCACUCAAGAGACAAAUGACAAACACAUAAGAGAUUUGCACACGGCCAGGGAAUGAGAAUGAGACUAUGUAGGGCAAUGUAGUAAGUUAUCCUCAGUACUCUGUACUCAAAGCUACUUUAGAAGCAUCCUAUUUAUUAAGACUUCUUCCUUUCUUUCAGUGAGGAGACAAACUACAAGACUAGGAGGAAAAGUCUUUGAGAAAGAUUAGGGAUGGAUGAACCAAGGUUCCCGAACAGGUCUUCCAAUCUGAGAUAUUCUAACUUGUCUUCACUGCAAAGUUAACUCAGGUUUUUACUUGAGUGUUGCCCUUAAUUCAUGUCUCACCCCCACACAAAAUCCCUUAACUCAAGUGUGGUGGUGUUUUUAAUUUAAGUUGUUUGGCACAUCAGGGGGUAUAGACUGAAGUUCAAGUUAGGAUAACUCAUCAGCUGCUAACAUGUCCACUUUUUGGAAUAAAUGUAGGCUAACUCUACUCAAGUCCUCCAAUGCCUUCUCAUAAUCCUCCCCCUCCCCCCCAUGUGAACAGAAAGGAUAGACAAGUUCUCCCGCAAUUCACAGGGGAAGAAUGCAUAGAGCAGCUCAGCUUACUGAAGUGCAAAGUACCAUGGGAUAUGCCCCCAGAAGCCCUAGUGCCACACAUGCUUGAGUGCAGCACCACUGUGUACAUAGCAGCUUAAGUGAAAAAUGCAGCAUGGCCACUAUCAUUCAAGUUAGGCUAAAUUGAAAGAAGUAACCCAAGUGUCAAUAACUUGGGUUAACUCUCUAAUGAGGGCAUGCCCGACAAGAAAACAUGGUGAGUAGUCAAGGUAUGCCACAAGGAUGCAUUUCCUAAAAUUUAAACGGAAGAGGAGGAGUCAGCUGGAGAGAAGGAUUCAUCUGAGAGUUGUUUGCUUGUUGCUGAAGGCCAGGGAGGUGUCACAGUGGGAUUGUGUUUUGAGAUAAGGGACUCAAAGAUAGACCUUCUUGGAGAGUGGUGGGAGGGGGAGCAAUAAUGUUGUACGGUGAAAUCCUCACUACUUUGAACUCAAUGGGAAUUUUGCCAUUGACUUCAGUGGAGCCACAAUUUCACCCCUGGUGUUCAUUAAUCCUAAAAAGACCUAGAAAGGGCAUAUUCUUCCAAAUACAAGACCAAGAGGAAAAGUCUGUCAGAAAGAUAAGGAAUGGAUGAACCAAGAUUCCCUGAGACACGUUUAACAUGGCAUAAAUGUGGAAGGAAUAAGAACUGAGUUUAUUUCUUAUUAAAGGGCGAAAUUCUGUCCACUGAUCUGAUGUUGUUCAAAGUACAAGUCAGGACAGAAUUUGGCUCUGUAGCAUUUAGACAGUUCGAAGGGCAUAGCUGUGUUUUUCUAUAUUUAAAACUAGGUUUUAGGUAUACAUGUUGCUCCUUAUUUUAAUACUUAAAAAGUAUUCUGUAUUCUUGGGAUUUUAAUGCUUUUAUUUUAGUUCUCAGACAAUAUAACAAAGUAUGGCUACAAUUAGAAAAAAAGAGCACUCUGAGAAAUAGUAGAGUCAGCAAUCAAACAGUUCCCACAUUUUAUACUUUUCCUUGCAUAUGGCUAAAGGGGUCUUUUAAUGAGAAAAGUUCACUUUAUAGAUACAGAGAGAACUUAAUUAAACGUGAGCCUUUCAGUGUAACUGGUAGGAAGUUGUCAAGUGUUAUAAGAUUUGGGAUAAAGAAUCCUUUACAUAAGAGGGGUCGUAUGAUUUUCAGUCUGCCCUGAACAAACUGAAACUCAAAGAGUGAGCAGAGGCUGUAUAAACUAUUAUCAAAACCUACUUAGAAUCUGUCUCAUCACAGAUGGAUUCUCCUGUUGAAGAGAUUCCCUGAUACAUGCACACAUUCCAUAGAUGCCUUCUUUUAAGCAAUAAUGCAGAUUGUAAUUGAAUUUCAUGAGAUAAUGGACCAUAUUGUGAGUUAUUCGUUCUAGGCCUGGAGCAAUGAUUCCUCCAGAUCAAUUUCCUCCUGUUAGGCCCAGAAUAAAAGGAAAAUAAUUAACCUGAUAUGUUGUCAUAAAUAUAACGGGAAGGGAAACCACCUUUCUGUAUACACUGCUAUAAAAUCCCUCCUGGCCAGAGGCAACAUCUUACCA
This is a long non-coding RNA of Chelonia mydas (Green sea turtle), 6694 nucleotides long. RefSeq lists it as uncharacterized. The record is from RefSeq and is a predicted model, not a curated record. The transcript is spliced from 5 exons. Lineage: Eukaryota; Metazoa; Chordata; Testudines; Cheloniidae.